GUGGAAUAGAAACUAAUAUUACUUAAAAUUUACCUACACAAUAAAGAUACAUUAGCAAGUGCUGAAGAUAAUAAAAAUAAUGUCAUAAGGUAAAAGUUGAGUUCUGUCCUAGUAGUAUAUGAAUUAAUCAUUACCUUAACUAACACCCAUAUUUGAAUAUCAACCGCAAGGUUUUAUUAUUAACUCAUCCGAGUAUAUAAAUGAAUCAAAUUUGCAUAUAAACUGAGAUAUAGAAGGCUAUAACAAAGCAAAAACAACAACCCAGGAACUCAAUACAUUUCUUUCAUCCAACGGCAGUAAACAAAACAUGUCCAUACAUAGAAAUACAAUGCAACAAAAUCCAAGCAUGUUGGACAUAAUGUAAUGAAUCAUCAAAAUCUUCUCCAAGAGUAGGGCAGAACCAAUAUGCUAACCAUAGCCAAAACCCGGUAUUGUUUGACAGAAAAAUGUCCACAAUAUAACUAUAAUGCAAAGUUAAGUUGCCUACAUGACCAUACAAGGAUUCCGAAUGCAUUAAUGCGAUGCAACUUUUAAAUCAGGGGUACAAUAGAAACUAGAGAGACUCAAACUAGGAAAGUUUUACACUAUAAUAACAUCCUACCACAGCUUGAUAAGAGUAUCUCAUCCAAUGCAAUUUCUUUUGGAGAUUCCAAAAGAAACCAUCAUUGAAGCUUAACCCAACACAGCAGCUAUAAAUAAUUAUUACCAUAUUAUAUUAUAAUUAGUCUUUACUUUUAUAAGUGAAGUGAGAAUAUUGAAGGGCCAAAUGAGACUAAGCACAAGGUUUGCCAAAGAUCAUAGCAAAAAAAUAACAACCAGGAAAACUCAAAGCAAUAGGAACACAUUCCAUAGUUAUUAGUAGUAAGUGAGCAAUCCCUAUAGAUAUAUAUGCUAUGUUUGGAUAAAAGGCUUAAUUAAGGGCUUAUAGCAUAACACAUAUCAUAUAAGUGUUUAUGGAUAAGUUGUUUAUGUAAGAAAAGCUCAAAUAAGUCAAUAAAAAUAUGCUCAUAGUACCACUCAAACUAUGCAUUUAAACAUGUAAGAGCAAGGGAGGAAUUACAUAAACUUGGAUGCAAAAUGAAUCAACACGCAAAGUAACAAUCAGAGCAAAAAGAGAAAUUGAAAGAAGAAAAUUGUAAAUAAAAACGAGAGUUUGAGAAUAAUUAUUACCAAACAAUGGCGACUCGCAGAUCGGAAGAAUUAGUAUGUUCUCGUCGAACUUCCUACAUAUGUUUGUGUAUAGGAAACCUGCUUCCUUUUCUUUUGUCAAUCUAUUUUUUAUUUAUUUAAAGUCUAAGAAUUUAUUGUUUUCAAUUAAUUUUUUUGUACUUUAAUUAAAAAAAUUACUUUUAACUUUUCUAACUAGAAUCGGAUACACUAGUUAGCAUAACUAUUGAAUUAAUCCUCACUCGCUCUUUAAAAUUUUAAAAAAUAUCAUUGAAAUUUUAGAAUAUAUAUUCUAAAAUAUGUUUUUUUUCCUAUAUACACCGAGUAAAUUAGUACUUGAAUUUAAAAAUUGAAUCACCCUAUUCGUGUUUCGGACCUCUCCUUAUGGCAAAAUAAGCAAGGUAUAAAAUGAAAAUUUUAAUUUUCAAAUAAGGGUUGUUUGCAUUAUAAAAUCUGAAUUGUUUGUUUUAUUGUAUUAUAAAAUCCAAAACCUUAUACACCUUUUUGUUAAGAAAACAAAUCCUGGAAAAAACAUAUUCAUAUUACAUAAUUUAAAUUGUAUUAACACAAAAACUAAAUGAGUUUGUAACAUGAAUAUCUUGUGUAAGAAUCAUAAUAAUCAUUCUAAUCCAAUGCUCAAUUUGUGCUUCUUGUGUUUUAGAUCUUGGAAGUGCAUAUUUCUAGUUAUAAAAAAAGAAGGUUUUAGGUUCUAAAGCUUUCUACACCUACACAUUUUAGGUGAAAUUUCAACACGCUCCGAAAUAUGAUCAACUUCAAUAUUUUCAAACACUUAAAUAAAAUAUUUUUCCAACAAGUCAUUCGCCUCAAAAUCCUUCAUAACCAUCAAACACAAGUGACGUAAAAAACUGAAGGUAGAAAAAGGGCUUGAGAUUAACAAAUUUGAACUUCAUCCAAUUUAUUUUAAUCACCCAAAGGUCAAGACCAAUAACAAACUUACUUUAACCCAAAAAGGCACAUGAUUAAACCAUGAGAAUAAAUAUAACUAAAGUGUAAUCAGCCUUUUGAAAUCAUCAAUUAACAUCAACCUUAAAAGAAGAGAUAAAUAAAAAAGGCAAGCUUUCAUAUUAAAGAGCAAGGAAUGGGGCGAGUUGGAACUAACAUUUGGUGUUCAAAAUCCACAUAAGAACAAUCAAAACAAUAAUUAAAGCCAUCAGAACUAGGACAAAACCAAAGAAUGAGAGAUGAAAAGGAGAAAAAACAACAUUAAAAAAUUUAAAAAUAUAUUUGAGAAAAACUAAUUUCAUUUUUAAAAAAGAAAAUUCAAAUGAUGAAUACAAUUUAAAUGUAUAAACAUAAAACACACAAGCAUAAAGAUUAAAAUUUUAAAGGCAGAAGCAUAUGGAUGGAAGACCAAGUAGCUCGAAAUGAAAUUUUUUGACCAGAAACAUGAAAAAAGAAAAAGAAAAAAAUAUCAAAGAAAGCAUGGUUGUCUCUUAGACAAUAAAUAGGAACCAUACAACCCCUUCUCUCCAAUAGCUUUAAGCUAAUUGGUUAACAAUUCUACAAAAAAUAACAAUAGGAUAAAAUGAAACAUAGAAAACAAGCGAUUAAGAAACAUUGUAGUUUCAGACUAUCAUACAUCUCAAUCGAAGAAAAUUUAGCUUUCGAAUCCAAUCAAAGCAAAAUAAGAAAUCCUUUUGGAAUGAAAGAUUAAAAAAAAUUAGUACUUUGUGAAGAAGGAAUCCUCAAAAAUAAGAAAAGCUGGGACUUUCUCACUACUGGUGUUUAUGGUUCAAAAAUCAACUUUCUCACUAAUUUAUAAUUCAGUUCCGCUCCUAAAACCUGAUUAAUUUUAUAAGCAGUUUCACAAUUUCAAUACAGAAUAAUUCUCUCUAAUAAUUUGAAUUGAAAUUAAGCGAUUGUUAAAUGGCUUUACCCGCUAGGUUGGGCAUAAAAAUCAACUCUUUAAAGUAAUUUAACAGAGACAACGCUUAAAUAGAACAAUUAAUAAAAGAACACUCACCCUUGAAGAAAAAGAGAAUCACCAUAGCAGAAGGGAAGUAAUUCCUUAAAAAUAUGGUUCUUUUCUUUUAUUUAGAAUUUCCAGUUUAGAUCUCCACUUGCCUUUGAUUAGAACUCCAGAUCUGCAAAAAAAAAAAAAAAAAAAAAAUCACAAAACCAUAAAAAUCAACACUUUUAUACAUAGGAAGAUAGGAAGAUUAUUGUAUUGCAUAUCACUUCCUAGGAGGAUUCAAAUUGUUUCGAUCUUCAACCUUUUGGAAACGUGAGACGUAUUAGGUUGAAGCAUUCAUCUGUUUUCAGAUGUUAAAAACAAAUCACAAGGAUUCAAACUGUUUUUGCAUCUUUA
RNAcentral lists this long non-coding RNA (3496 nucleotides) under Medicago truncatula (barrel medic). RNAcentral describes it as "long non-coding RNA (MTRU_LNC008438)". The record is from RNAcentral. Lineage: Eukaryota; Viridiplantae; Streptophyta; Magnoliopsida; Fabales; Fabaceae.